RNAcentral lists this ribosomal RNA (478 nucleotides) under uncultured Planctomycetales bacterium. RNAcentral's name for it is "bacterial SSU rRNA". It matches the Rfam family "Bacterial small subunit ribosomal RNA", at positions 364 to 832 of the family's 1533-position model. The record is from RNAcentral. Lineage: Bacteria; Pseudomonadati; Planctomycetota; Planctomycetia; Planctomycetales.
UUUCGCAAUGCCCGAAAGGGUGACGAAGCGACGCCGCGUGUGGGAAGAAGGCCUUCGGGUUGUAAACCACUGUCGGGAGUUAAGAAAUGCAAGGAUAUGAAUAGUGCCUUUGCUUGACUAAGGCUCCGGAGGAAGCCACGGCUAACUCUGUGCCAGCAGCCGCGGUAAUACAGAGGCGGCAAGCGUUGUUCGGAAUUAUUGGGCGUAAAGAGCACGUAGGCGGCUAUGUAAGUUGGUUGUGAAAGCCUUCCGCUCAACGGGAGAACAGCAUCCGAUACUGCAUGGCUUGAGUGCGGGAGGGGAGAGUGGAACUUCUGGUGGAGCGGUGAAAUGCGUAGAUAUCAGAAGGAACGCCGGCGGCGAAAGCGGCUCUCUGGCCCAUAACUGACGCUGAGUGUGCGAAAGCUAGGGGAGCAAACGGGAUUAGAUACCCCGGUAGUCCUAGCCGUAAACGAUGGGCACUAAGUAGAGGGGUUUU